This 298-nucleotide long non-coding RNA is filed under the name Elaeis guineensis (African oil palm). Its description in RNAcentral is "long non-coding RNA (EGUI_LNC005208)". The record is from RNAcentral. Lineage: Eukaryota; Viridiplantae; Streptophyta; Magnoliopsida; Arecales; Arecaceae.
AUACCUGUGGAGCUGGAAAAUUUAUUUCUAUAGGAAAAGGUACUUUUUCGUCUCUCUUAUUUGAAGACUUCAACCAAAUGGAACCUACUCUGCCAUUUUCUUGUUCACACAUUCCUUCCUCCUCUUCCCGCGAAUCAAGCAAAUUCAAUUGGAAGAAAAUAGAAGAAUCUAAAGAAGCAGAUCUCAAAUCUCAACAACCGGCAUCCAGUCUCAAGCAAUUUUGUGAAGUUUAUCACACCAAACCGCCUAAAAAAAUAUCCAACAUACGGCAGGUUUUUUUUCUGGUUGAAAAGCAUGC